GACGAACGCUGGCGGCGUGCUUAACACAUGCAAGUCGAACGCUGAAGCUCAGCUUUUGUUGGGUGGAUGAGUGGCGAACGGGUGAGUAACACGUGAGUAACCUGCCUCCUUCUUUGGGAUAACGCCCGGAAACGGGUGCUAAUACUGGAUAUUCACUGGUCUUCGCAUGGGGGUUGGUGGAAAGGGUUUUUCUGGUGGGGGAUGGGCUCGCGGCCUAUCAGCUUGUUGGUGGGGUGAUGGCCUACCAAGGCUUUGACGGGUAGCCGGCCUGAGAGGGGGACCGGUCACAUUGGGACUGAGAUACGGCCCAGACUCCUACGGGAGGCAGCAGUGGGGAGUAUUGCACAAUGGGCGCAAGCCUGAUGCAGCGACGCCGCGUGAGGGAUGGAGGCCUUCGGGUUGUGAACCUCUUUCGCUCAUGGUCAAGCCGCAACAAUGGUUGUGGUGAGGGUAGUGGGUAAAGAAGCGCCGGCUAACUACGUG
This 483-nucleotide ribosomal RNA is filed under the name uncultured bacterium. RNAcentral describes it as "partial 16S ribosomal RNA". It matches the Rfam family "Bacterial small subunit ribosomal RNA", at positions 28 to 507 of the family's 1533-position model. The record is from RNAcentral.